This 454-nucleotide ribosomal RNA is filed under the name uncultured Parabacteroides sp. RNAcentral describes it as "partial 16S ribosomal RNA". It matches the Rfam family "Bacterial small subunit ribosomal RNA", at positions 341 to 792 of the family's 1533-position model. The record is from RNAcentral. Lineage: Bacteria; Pseudomonadati; Bacteroidota; Bacteroidia; Bacteroidales; Tannerellaceae.
ACGGGAGGCAGCAGUGAGGAAUAUUGGUCAAUGGAGGCAACUCUGAACCAGCCAUCUCGCGUGAAGGAAUACGGCCCUACGGGUCUUAAACUUCUUUUAUAGGGGGAUAAAGUGAGAUACGCGUAUCUUUUUGUAGGUACCCUAUGAAUAAGCAUCGGCUAACUCCGUGCCAGCAGCCGCGGUAAUACGGAGGAUGCGAGCGUUAUCCGGAUUUAUUAGGUUUAAAGGGUGCGCAGGCGGGACAUUAAGUCGGUGGUGAAAUACCGUGGCCCAACCACGGGGCUGCCAUCGAUACUGAUGACCUUGAGUGCGUGUGACGUAGGCGGAAUGUGGAGUGUAGCGGUGAAAUGCUUAGAUAUUCCACAGAACACCGAUUGCGAAGGCAGCCUACGAAUGCGUAACUGACGCUCAUGCACGAAAGCGCGGGUAGCGAACAGGAUUAGAUACCCUGGUA